Molecule: ribosomal RNA, 440 nt
Filed under: Exiguobacterium sp. abc1
Lineage: Bacteria; Bacillati; Bacillota; Bacilli; Caryophanales
Description: bacterial SSU rRNA
Rfam family: Bacterial small subunit ribosomal RNA
Source: RNAcentral
GGCAUGUGGUUUAAUUCGAAGCAACGCGAAGAACCUUACCAACUCUUGACAUCCCCCUGACCGGUACAGAGAUGUAUCUUCCCCUUCGGGGGCAGGGGUGACAGGUGGUGCAUGGUUGUCGUCAGCUCGUGUCGUGAGAUGUUGGGUUAAGUCCCGCAACGAGCGCAACCCUUGUCCUUAGUUGCCAGCAUUUGGUUGGGCACUCUAGGGAGACUGCCGGUGACAAACCGGAGGAAGGUGGGGAUGACGUCAAAUCAUCAUGCCCCUUAUGAGUUGGGCUACACACGUGCUACAAUGGACGGUACAAAGGGCAGCGAAGCCGCGAGGUGGAGCCAAUCCCAGAAAGCCGUUCUCAGUUCGGAUUGCAGGCUGCAACUCGCCUGCAUGAAGUCGGAAUCGCUAGUNNUCGCAGGUCAGCAUACUGCGGNAAUACUUCCCUG